Molecule: ribosomal RNA, 695 nt
Filed under: uncultured Burkholderiaceae bacterium
Lineage: Bacteria; Pseudomonadati; Pseudomonadota; Betaproteobacteria; Burkholderiales; Burkholderiaceae
Description: bacterial SSU rRNA
Rfam family: Bacterial small subunit ribosomal RNA
Source: RNAcentral
AGAGUUUGAUCAUGGCUCAGAUUGAACGCUGGCGGCAUGCCUUACACAUGCAAGUCGAACGGUAGCAGGUCUUUCGGGAUGCUGACGAGUGGCGAACGGGUGAGUAAUACAUCGGAACGUGCCCAGUAAUGGGGGAUAGCUCGGCGAAAGCCGGAUUAAUACCGCAUACGCCCUGAGGGGGAAAGUGGGGGACCGCAAGGCCUCACGUUAUUGGAGCGGCCGAUGGCUGAUUAGCUAGUUGGUAGGGUAAAGGCCUACCAAGGCGACGAUCAGUAGCUGGUCUGAGAGGACGAUCAGCCACACUGGGACUGAGACACGGCCCAGACUCCUACGGGAGGCAGCAGUGGGGAAUUUUGGACAAUGGGGGAAACCCUGAUCCAGCAAUGCCGCGUGUGCGAAGAAGGCCUUCGGGUUGUAAAGCACUUUUGUCAGGGAAGCAAUCCUUUGGGCUAAUACCCUAUGGGGAUGACGGUACCUGAAGAAUAAGCACCGGCUAACUACGUGCCAGCAGCCGCGGUAAUACGUAGGGUGCAAGCGUUAAUCCGGAAUUACUGGGGCGUAAAGCGUGCGCAGGCGGUUGUGUAAGACAGGUGUGGAAUCCCGGGCUUAACUGGGAAUGCCUUUUUUACUGCCCGACUAAAUGUGUCAGAGGCGGUGAAUUCCCCGUGUAGCAGGGAAUGCGUAAAUCUGUGGAG